GAUGAAGAACGUAGCGAAAUGCGAUAAGUAAUGUGAAUUGCAGAAUUCAGUGAAUCAUCGAAUCUUUGAACGCACAUUGCGCCCGCUAGUAUUCUGGCGGGCAUGCCUGUUCGAGCGUCAUUUCAACCAUCAAGCCCUGCUUGUGUUGGGGUCCUGCGGCUGCCCGCAGGCCCUGAAAACCAGUGGCGGGCUCGCUAGUCACACCGAGCGCAGUAGCACAUCUCGCUCAGGGCGUGCGGCGGGUUCUUGCCGUAAAACACCCCCUUUUACCAAGGUUGACCUCGGAUCAGGUAGGAAUACCCGCUGAACUUAAGCAUAUCAAUAAGCGGAGGA
Molecule: unclassified non-coding RNA, 333 nt
Filed under: soil metagenome
Description: partial contains 5.8S ribosomal RNA, internal transcribed spacer 2, and large subunit ribosomal RNA
Rfam family: 5.8S ribosomal RNA (bases 1-120)
Source: RNAcentral